Molecule: long non-coding RNA, 1078 nt
Organism: Herpailurus yagouaroundi (jaguarundi)
Lineage: Eukaryota; Metazoa; Chordata; Mammalia; Carnivora; Felidae
Exons: 2
Source: RefSeq, a predicted model, not a curated record
UAACUAUAUGCUUCCCAUCUCUCUGAAAAGCUGGGAAGCCCAAAAUAUUUUGGAUUGUUUUGGCAGCACAAGCAGCCAGCUGUUGACUGGAGUUCCACAGAACCAGCCAGGGAUGUCAGUGGCUGACUCUGGCAUCUGUGUUAUGAAUGAUAUCUUGGGAUAAAAUCCCACCCCCUGUAGUUUCUUGGCAGCUUAAGAAUCUCAGACUGAGAUGAAAACAUGGCUUUCAAUGCCUCAGUGAGUCGCUGGAAUAUUUUGGAACUGCUUGAGCCAGUAUGAGAUUUGUGCACAUCUCUGAUUUUCAAUCCAGCUUUGAACUGAUAUUCAACACCCGAGAAGUAGAAUCUUAAAAUGAAAAACAUCUUUAAUUGGUUCAAAGGUCCCAAGUUCCAUUACCUCUGAAGAAAGAAUCUUAUAGAGGUUUUUCUGAUCUUUCAUCUGCCCACAAUUGCCUUUCCUAAUCAAAAGUAGCAAGCGGGUUGUGACCAUCUUGACCAAAUGAAGCGAGAAGGUUUCACCUCAUUUCACUUCUGUUUGCUUCUAACGAACAGAAUAUGGCAAAAAGGAUGGGAUGUCACUUCCAAGAUAAGAUUAUGAAAGACUAUGACUUCCUUUUUUGUCUGUCCCUCCCUCCUUUUCUCCCUCUUUCUUUGAUAAAACAAGCUGUCAUGUUAAAAGCUACCCUAUGGAGAAGCCCAUAUGGCAAACAAUGGAGGCCGGUCUUUGGCCAACAAGGUAGAAAUUGAGGCCCUUGGUCCAACAACCUGGAAGAAAGUGAAUUCUGCAACAAGUGAGUGUGCAAAAGCAGACCCCCCACCCCCCCACAACUGAACCUUGAGAUGAUUCUAGCUCCAACUGACACCUUGAUUUCAACCUUGUUGAGAGACUUGAGCAGGAGGACCCAGUUAAACUGUACCUGAUUCCUCACCCGAUGACACUGUGAGAUAAUAAAUGUGUGUUAUUUUAAGGGGCUAAAUGUGGGGGCAAUUAGUUACACAGCAAUAGACAACUAAAUAUACUCUUUCUUCUAAAAACAUAUACUCAAUUAAAGGAAUAAAGUUUAAUAUAAGGUAAGAUA